This 471-nucleotide ribosomal RNA is filed under the name uncultured bacterium. RNAcentral describes it as "bacterial SSU rRNA". It matches the Rfam family "Bacterial small subunit ribosomal RNA", at positions 329 to 793 of the family's 1533-position model. The record is from RNAcentral.
CUACGCACUCCUACGGGAGGCAGCAGUGGGGAAUAUUGCACAAUGGGCGCAAGCCUGAUGCAGCCAUACCGCGUGUAUGAAGAAGGCCUUCGGGUUGUAAAGUACUUUCAGCAGUGAGGAAGGUGGGUAUGUUAAUAGCAUAUUCAUUUGACGUUAGCUGCAGAAGAAGCACCGGCUAACUCCGUGCCAGCAGCCGCGGUAAUACGGAGGGUGCGAGCGUUAAUCGGAAUUACUGGGCGUAAAGCGCAUGCAGGUGGUUUGUUAAGUCAGAUGUGAAAGCCCGGGGCUCAACCUCGGAAUUGCAUUUGAAACUGGCAAACUAGAGUACUGUAGAGGGGGUAGAAUUUCAGGUGUAGCGGUGAAAUGCGUAGAGAUCUGAAGGAAUACCGGUGGCGAAGGCGGCCCCCUGGACAGAUACUGACACUCAGAUGCGAAAGCGUGGGGAGCAAACAGGAUUAGAUACCCUGGUAG